AUUGAACGCUGGCGGCAUGCUUUACACAUGCAAGUCGAACGGUAACAGGGUGCUUGCACCGCUGACGAGUGGCGAACGGGUGAGUAAUGCGUCGGAACGUGCCGAGUAGUGGGGGAUAACGCAGCGAAAGUUGUGCUAAUACCGCAUACGUACUGAGGUAGAAAGUGGGGGACCUUCGGGCCUCACGCUAUUCGAGCGGCCGACGUCUGAUUAGCUAGUAGGUGAGGUAAAGGCUCACCUAGGCGACGAUCAGUAGCGGGUCUGAGAGGAUGAUCCGCCACACUGGGACUGAGAAACGGCCCAGACUCCUACGGGAGGCAGCAGUGGGGAAUUUUGGACAAUGGGCGAAAGCCUGAUCCAGCAAUGCCGCGUGUCUGAAGAAGGCCUUCGGGUUGUAAAGGACUUUUGUCAGGGAGGAAAUCCCUAGUGCUAAUAACACUGGGGGAUGACAGUACCUGAAGAAUAAGCACCGGCUAACUACGUGCCAGCAGCCGCCGUAA
This 500-nucleotide ribosomal RNA is filed under the name uncultured bacterium. RNAcentral describes it as "partial 16S ribosomal RNA". It matches the Rfam family "Bacterial small subunit ribosomal RNA", at positions 30 to 523 of the family's 1533-position model. The record is from RNAcentral.